CCUACGGGAGGCAGCAGUGGGGAAUAUUGCACAAUGGACGAAAGUCUGAUGCAGCAACGCCGCGUGGAGGAUGACACAUUUCGGUGCGUAAACUCUUUUUAUAUAGGAAGAUAAUGACGGUACUAUAUGAAUAAGCACCGGCUAACUCCGUGCCAGCAGCCGCGGUAA
RNAcentral lists this ribosomal RNA (168 nucleotides) under uncultured Arcobacter sp. RNAcentral's name for it is "partial 16S ribosomal RNA". It matches the Rfam family "Bacterial small subunit ribosomal RNA", at positions 338 to 523 of the family's 1533-position model. The record is from RNAcentral. Lineage: Bacteria; Pseudomonadati; Campylobacterota; Epsilonproteobacteria; Campylobacterales; Arcobacteraceae.